GACUUGUGAACUCAAAAAAAUUAAUUCAAAAAUUAAUUAGAAAGUAUUUCGAUUAAUUGAUUCAUUUGGGCUGAUUUAAUCUAAUCAGAUUGGUUUAGGUCAUGAGCCUGAGUCUACUACUGGCUAGAUAUGAAAUUCAAUGGAUCAUACACAUUAAAAAUUUGAUCUUGAUCUAAUCUAAUUAGAUUUAUUGUAAAUCCUAUGGGUUAAUUAAAUUGCUAGCAUAUGAAUUGAUCCAAAUUUCC
RNAcentral lists this long non-coding RNA (245 nucleotides) under Elaeis guineensis (African oil palm). RNAcentral's name for it is "long non-coding RNA (EGUI_LNC058234)". The record is from RNAcentral. Lineage: Eukaryota; Viridiplantae; Streptophyta; Magnoliopsida; Arecales; Arecaceae.